This 223-nucleotide ribosomal RNA is filed under the name uncultured Glomeraceae. RNAcentral describes it as "partial small subunit ribosomal RNA". It matches the Rfam family "Eukaryotic small subunit ribosomal RNA", at positions 549 to 773 of the family's 1831-position model. The record is from RNAcentral. Lineage: Eukaryota; Fungi; Glomeromycota; Glomeromycetes; Glomerales; Glomeraceae.
UGGAGGGCAAGUCUGGUGCCAGCAGCCGCGGUAAUUCCAGCUCCAAUAAGCGUAUAUUUAAGUUGUUGCAGUUAAAAAGCUCGUAGUUGAAUUUCGGGGUUAGUAGGUUGGUCAUGCCUCUGGUAUGUACUGGUCUCACUGAUUCCUCCUUCCUGAUGAACCGUAAUGCCAUUAAUUUGGUGUUGCGGGGAAUUUGGACUGUUACUUUGAAAAAAUUAGAGUG